GACGAACGCUGGCGGCGUGCUUAACACAUGCAAGUCGAACGGAAAGGCCCUACUAUUGUGGUGUGCUCGAUUGGCGAACGGGUGAGUAACACGUGAGUAACCUGCCCUUGACUUUGGGAUAACUUCAGGAAACUGAGGCUAAUACCUUAUAGCAUCUCCUGCUGCAUGGUGGGGGUUGGAAAUUUUAGGCGGUUGGGGCUGGACUCGCGGCUUAUGAGCUUGUUGGUGGGGUAGUUGCUUACCAAGGGUUUGACGGGUAGCCGGCCGGAGAGGGUGACCGGCGACAUUGGGCCUGAGAUACGGCCCAGACUCCUACGGGAGACAGCAGUGGGGAAUAUUGUCCAAUGGGAGGAAGUCUGAGGAAGAAACCCCGCGUGCGGGAUGACGGCCUUUUGGUUGUAAACCGCUUUAGCCUGUGACGAAGCGGGAGUGACGGUACUGGGUAAAGAAGCACCGGCUAACUACGUG
RNAcentral lists this ribosomal RNA (468 nucleotides) under uncultured bacterium. RNAcentral describes it as "partial 16S ribosomal RNA". It matches the Rfam family "Bacterial small subunit ribosomal RNA", at positions 28 to 507 of the family's 1533-position model. The record is from RNAcentral.